GGUUAAGCGACUAAGCGUACACGGUGGAUGCCCUGGCAGUCAGAGGCGAUGAAGGACGUGCUAAUCUGCGAUAAGCGUCGGUGAGGUGAUAUGAACCGUUAUAACCGGCGAUUUCCGAAUGGGGAAACCCAGUGUGUUUCGACACACUAUCAUUAACUGAAUCCAUAGGUUAAUGAGGCGAACCGGGGGAACUGAAACAUCUAAGUACCCCGAGGAAAAGAAAUCAACCGAGAUUCCCCCAGUAGCGGCGAGCGAACGGGGAGCAGCCCAGAGCCUGAAUCAGUGUGUGUGUUAGUGGAAGCGUCUGGAAAGGCGUGCGAUACAGGGUGACAGCCCCGUACACAAAAAUGCACAUACUGUGAGCUCGAUGAGUAGGGCGGGACACGUGGUAUCCUGUCUGAAUAUGGGGGGACCAUCCUCCAAGGCUAAAUACUCCUGACUGACCGAUAGUGAACCAGUACCGUGAGGGAAAGGCGAAAAGAACCCCGGCGAGGGGAGUGAAAAAGAACCUGAAACCGUGUACGUACAAGCAGUGGGAGCCUCUUAAUGGGGUGACUGCGUACCUUUUGUAUAAUGGGUCAGCGACUUAUAUUCUGUAGCAAGGUUAACCGAAUAGGGGAGCCGAAGGGAAACCGAGUCUUAACUGGGCGUUAAGUUGCAGGGUAUAGACCCGAAACCCGGUGAUCUAGCCAUGGGCAGGUUGAAGGUUGGGUAACACUAACUGGAGGACCGAACCGACUAAUGUUGAAAAAUUAGCGGAUGACUUGUGGCUGGGGGUGAAAGGCCAAUCAAACCGGGAGAUAGCUGGUUCUCCCCGAAAGCUAUUUAGGUAGCGCCUCGUGAAUUCAUCUCCGGGGGUAGAGCACUGUUUCGGCAAGGGGGUCAUCCCGACUUACCAACCCGAUGCAAACUGCGAAUACCGGAGAAUGUUAUCACGGGAGACACACGGCGGGUGCUAACGUCCGUCGUGAAGAGGGAAACAACCCAGACCGCCAGCUAAGGUCCCAAAGUCAUGGUUAAGUGGGAAACGAUGUGGGAAGGCCCAGACAGCCAGGAUGUUGGCUUAGAAGCAGCCAUCAUUUAAAGAAAGCGUAAUAGCUCACUGGUCGAGUCGGCCUGCGCGGAAGAUGUAACGGGGCUAAACCAUGCACCGAAGCUGCGGCAGCGACACUAUGUGUUGUUGGGUAGGGGAGCGUUCUGUAAGCCUGUGAAGGUGUACUGUGAGGUAUGCUGGAGGUAUCAGAAGUGCGAAUGCUGACAUAAGUAACGAUAAAGCGGGUGAAAAGCCCGCUCGCCGGAAGACCAAGGGUUCCUGUCCAACGUUAAUCGGGGCAGGGUGAGUCGACCCCUAAGGCGAGGCCGAAAGGCGUAGUCGAUGGGAAACAGGUUAAUAUUCCUGUACUUGGUGUUACUGCGAAGGGGGGACGGAGAAGGCUAUGUUGGCCGGGCGACGGUUGUCCCGGUUUAAGCGUGUAGGCUGGUUUUCCAGGCAAAUCCGGAAAAUCAAGGCUGAGGCGUGAUGACGAGGCACUACGGUGCUGAAGCAACAAAUGCCCUGCUUCCAGGAAAAGCCUCUAAGCAUCAGGUAACAUCAAAUCGUACCCCAAACCGACACAGGUGGUCAGGUAGAGAAUACCAAGGCGCUUGAGAGAACUCGGGUGAAGGAACUAGGCAAAAUGGUGCCGUAACUUCGGGAGAAGGCACGCUGAUAUGUAGGUGAAGUCCCUUGCGGAUGGAGCUGAAAUCAGUCGAAGAUACCAGCUGGCUGCAACUGUUUAUUAAAAACACAGCACUGUGCAAACACGAAAGUGGACGUAUACGGUGUGACGCCUGCCCGGUGCCGGAAGGUUAAUUGAUGGGGUUAGCGGUAACGCGAAGCUCUUGAUCGAAGCCCCGGUAAACGGCGGCCGUAACUAUAACGGUCCUAAGGUAGCGAAAUUCCUUGUCGGGUAAGUUCCGACCUGCACGAAUGGCGUAAUGAUGGCCAGGCUGUCUCCACCCGAGACUCAGUGAAAUUGAACUCGCUGUGAAGAUGCAGUGUACCCGCGGCAAGACGGAAAGACCCCGUGAACCUUUACUAUAGCUUGACACUGAACAUUGAGCCUUGAUGUGUAGGAUAGGUGGGAGGCUUUGAAGUGUGGACGCCAGUCUGCAUGGAGCCGGCCUUGAAAUACCACCCUUUAAUGUUU
RNAcentral lists this ribosomal RNA (2189 nucleotides) under Escherichia coli. RNAcentral's name for it is "partial 23S ribosomal RNA". It matches the Rfam family "Bacterial large subunit ribosomal RNA", at positions 1 to 2215 of the family's 2925-position model. Lineage: Bacteria; Pseudomonadati; Pseudomonadota; Gammaproteobacteria; Enterobacterales; Enterobacteriaceae. The record is from RNAcentral.